UAUGCAAGUCGAACGGUAACAGGAAGCAGCUUGCUGCUUCGCUGACGAGUGGCGGACGGGUGAGUAAUGUCUGGGAAACUGCCUGAUGGAGGGGGAUAACUACUGGAAACGGUAGCUAAUACCGCAUAACGUCGCAAGACCAAAGAGGGGGACCUUCGGGCCUCUUGCCAUCGGAUGUGCCCAGAUGGGAUUAGCUAGUAGGUGGGGUAACGGCUCACCUAGGCGACGAUCCCUAGCUGGUCUGAGAGGAUGACCAGCCACACUGGAACUGAGACACGGUCCAGACUCCUACGGGAGGCAGCAGUGGGGAAUAUUGCACAAUGGGCGCAAGCCUGAUGCAGCCAUGCCGCGUGUAUGAAGAAGGCCUUCGGGUUGUAAAGUACUUCAGCGGGGAGGAAGGCGAUGAAGGUAAUAACCUUGUCGAUUGACGUUACCCGCAGAAGAAGCACC
This 450-nucleotide ribosomal RNA is filed under the name Enterobacter sp. 10-6-2-9. Its description in RNAcentral is "bacterial SSU rRNA". It matches the Rfam family "Bacterial small subunit ribosomal RNA", at positions 54 to 494 of the family's 1533-position model. The record is from RNAcentral. Lineage: Bacteria; Pseudomonadati; Pseudomonadota; Gammaproteobacteria; Enterobacterales; Enterobacteriaceae.